This 567-nucleotide ribosomal RNA is filed under the name uncultured fungus. RNAcentral's name for it is "eukaryotic LSU rRNA". The stretch from base 206 to 359 matches the Rfam family "5.8S ribosomal RNA". Lineage: Eukaryota; Fungi. The record is from RNAcentral.
CGUACAGGUCUCCGUAGGUGAACCUGCGGAGGGAUCAUUACACAAAUAUGAAGGCGGGCUGGAACCUCUCGGGGUUACAGCCUUGCUGAAUUAUUCACCCUUGUCUUUUGCGUACUUCUUGUUUCCUUGGUGGGUUCGCCCACCACUAGGACAAACAUAAACCUUUUGUAAUUGCAAUCAGCGUCAGUAACAAAUUAAUAAUUACAACUUUCAACAACGGAUCUCUUGGUUCUGGCAUCGAUGAAGAACGCAGCGAAAUGCGAUAAGUAGUGUGAAUUGCAGAAUUCAGUGAAUCAUCGAAUCUUUGAACGCACAUUGCGCCCUUUGGUAUUCCAAAGGGCAUGCCUGUUCGAGCGUCAUUUGUACCCUCGAGCUUUGCUUGGUGUUGGGCGUCUUGUCUCUAGCUUUGCUGGAGACUCGCCUUAAAGUAAUUGGCAGCCGGCCUACUGGUUUCGGAGCGCAGCACAAGUCGCACUCUCUAUCAGCAAAGGUCUAGCAUCCAUUAAGCCUUUUUUUCAACUUUUGACCUCGGAUCAGGUAGGGAUACCCGCUGAACUUAAGCAUAUC